Molecule: unclassified non-coding RNA, 237 nt
Filed under: Hevea brasiliensis (rubber tree)
Lineage: Eukaryota; Viridiplantae; Streptophyta; Magnoliopsida; Malpighiales; Euphorbiaceae
Source: RNAcentral
GAGGUUGCAUCACCCUGCCCGGUGCCUUGAUGCGCCUUUAACAAAAUUGCUCAAAUUGAAACAAAAGUUGCUAGUAUGAGGUCGUUAUUUGAAUUUCUUGGUUUUCCCUUUAGGCUCAAGUGUUCUUUUGCAACCACUGCUUUACUGGUUGCCCUAUUUUUCUGUCAAUAUACUAUCUAAGGAUAUGCACUGUGCUCAUUCCUUUAUGCAUAUAUAUCUCUUCUCACAAAGUUUUUU